GCUCAGGACGAACGCUGGCGGCGUGCCUAAUACAUGCAAGUCGAACGAACUCUGGUAUUGAUUGGUGCUUGCAUCAUGAUUUACAUUUGAGUGAGUGGCGAACUGGUGAGUAACACGUGGGAAACCUGCCCAGAAGCGGGGGAUAACACCUGGAAACAGAUGCUAAUACCGCAUAACAACUUGGACCGCAUGGUCCGAGUUUGAAAGAUGGCUUCGGCUAUCACUUUUGGAUGGUCCCGCGGCGUAUUAGCUAGAUGGUGAGGUAACGGCUCACCAUGGCAAUGAUACGUAGCCGACCUGAGAGGGUAAUCGGCCACAUUGGGACUGAGACACGGCCCAAACUCCUACGGGAGGCAGCAGUAGGGAAUCUUCCACAAUGGACGAAAGUCUGAUGGAGCAACGCCGCGUGAGUGAAGAAGGGUUUCGGCUCGUAAAACUCUGUUGUUAAAGAAGAACAUAUCUGAGAGUAACUGUUCAGGUAUUGACGGUAUUUAACCAGAAAGCCACGGCUAACUACGUGCCAGCAGCCGCGGUAAUACGUAGGUGGCAAGCGUUGUCCGGAUUUAUUGGGCGUAAAGCGAGCGCAGGCGGUUUUUUAAGUCUGAUGUGAAAGCCUUCGGCUCAACCGAAGAAGUGCAUCGGAAACUGGGAAACUUGAGUGCAGAAGAGGACAGUGGAACUCCAUGUGUAGCGGUGAAAUGCGUAGAUAUAUGGAAGAACACCAGUGGCGAAGGCGGCUGUCUGGUCUGUAACUGACGCUGAGGCUCGAAAGUAUGGGUAGCAAACAGGAUUAGAUACCCUGGUAGUCCAUACCGUAAACGAUGAAUGCUAAGUGUUGGAGGGUUUCCGCCCUUCAGUGCUGCAGCUAACGCAUUAAGCAUUCCGCCUGGGGAGUACGGCCGCAAGGCUGAAACUCAAAGGAAUUGACGGGGGCCCGCACAAGCGGUGGAGCAUGUGGUUUAAUUCGAAGCUACGCGAAGAACCUUACCAGGUCUUGACAUACUAUGCAAAUCUAAGAGAUUAGACGUUCCCUUCGGGGACAUGGAUACAGGUGGUGCAUGGUUGUCGUCAGCUCGUGUCGUGAGAUGUUGGGUUAAGUCCCGCAACGAGCGCAACCCUUAUUAUCAGUUGCCAGCAUUAAGUUGGGCACUCUGGUGAGACUGCCGGUGACAAACCGGAGGAAGGUGGGGAUGACGUCAAAUCAUCAUGCCCCUUAUGACCUGGGCUACACACGUGCUACAAUGGAUGGUACAACGAGUUGCGAACUCGCGAGAGUAAGCUAAUCUCUUAAAGCCAUUCUCAGUUCGGAUUGUAGGCUGCAACUCGCCUACAUGAAGUCGGAAUCGCUAGUAAUCGCGGAUCAGCAUGCCGCGGGGGAAUACGUUCCCGGGCCUUGUACACACCGCCCGUCACACCAUGAGAGUUUGUAACACCCAAAGUCGGUGGGGUAACCUUUUAGGAACCAGCCGCCUAAGGUGGGACAGAUGAUUAGGGUGAAGUCGUACA
This 1506-nucleotide ribosomal RNA is filed under the name Lactiplantibacillus plantarum. RNAcentral describes it as "bacterial SSU rRNA". It matches the Rfam family "Bacterial small subunit ribosomal RNA". The record is from RNAcentral. Lineage: Bacteria; Bacillati; Bacillota; Bacilli; Lactobacillales; Lactobacillaceae.